UCCGGUUUAACACCGGCAGUCUCCAUAGAGUGCCCAACUAAAUGAUGGCAACUAGGGAUAAGGGUUGCGCUCGUUAAGGGACUUAACCCGACAUCUCACGAUACGAGCUGACGACAGCCAUGCAGCACCUGUCUCUGAGCCACCGAAGUGGAAGUCCUAUCUCUAGGAUUGUCUCAGGAUGUCAAAUCCAGGUAAGGUUCUUCGCGUUGCAUCGAAUUAAACCACAUGCUCCACCGCUUGUGCGGGCCCCCGUCAAUUCCUUUGAGUUUUAACCUUGCGGCCGUACUUCCCAGGCGGGGUACUUAAUGCGUUAGCGUCGGCACUGCAGGGGUCAAUUCCUACAACACCUAGUACCCAUCGUUUACAGCGUGGACUAC
RNAcentral lists this unclassified non-coding RNA (377 nucleotides) under uncultured Oligoflexales bacterium. RNAcentral's name for it is "contains 16S-23S intergenic spacer region". The record is from RNAcentral. Lineage: Bacteria; Pseudomonadati; Bdellovibrionota; Oligoflexia; Oligoflexales.